CACGUAGUUAGCCGGCGCUUUCUCUGCAGGUACCGUCAAUCUCUCUUCUUCCCUGCUAACAGAGGUUUACAACCCGAAGGCCGCCAUCCCUCACGCGGCGUCGCUGCAUCAGGCUUGCGCCCAUUGUGCAAUAUUCCCCACUGCUGCCUCCCGUAGGAGUCUGGGCCGUGUCUCAGUCCCAGUGUGGCCGGUCACCCUCUCAGGCCGGCUACCCGUCGUCGCCUUGGUGAGCCGUUACCUCACCAACAAGCUGAUAGGCCGUGAGCCCAUCUAUAACCACUACAUAACGCUUUCCACCAACACCCCAUGCGGAGAUUGGUCGUAUCCGGUAUUAGACCCAGUUUCCCAGGCUUAUCCCAGAGUUAAAGGUAGGUUACUCACGUAUUACUCACCCGUUCGCCACUAAUCCACCUAGCAAGCUAGGCUUCAUCGUUCGACUUGCAUGUGUUAAGCACGCCGCCAGCGUUCGUCCUGAGCCAGGAGUCAAACUCU
Molecule: ribosomal RNA, 492 nt
Filed under: uncultured Rothia sp.
Lineage: Bacteria; Bacillati; Actinomycetota; Actinomycetes; Micrococcales; Micrococcaceae
Description: partial 16S ribosomal RNA
Source: RNAcentral